Molecule: long non-coding RNA, 168 nt
Organism: Lolium rigidum
Lineage: Eukaryota; Viridiplantae; Streptophyta; Magnoliopsida; Poales; Poaceae
Exons: 3
Source: RefSeq, a predicted model, not a curated record
CGGAAAUGUCAAGACGGUAGCCUCAUAUUUUCCCCUCACGUGACGAAUUCAUAAAAGAACAAUAUUUUGGUUGUCCAUGCAAUCCAACAAUUGAAUGCAGUAUUUUGCUCAUACAAGAGAAGCAACCAAAGAUCAUACAUCUACAGAGCUCCGCUGUCUCCAUUCCCG